ACUCUACAUACAUUAUAACCCUUCUAGGCUUCUGUUUUAUCAUUGGUAAAAUGGGGGAAAUAAUAGCACCAAUGCCAUAGGGCUGUUGUAAGGAAAGCAAGAUAAUACAUGCAAAGUGAUUUGCAAACUUUACAAGUCCCAGCUAUUCUGUAUUUAAAUUUCAUCUAUAAAUGGAAGCUAAUAAUAUCUGCUCUACUUGUCCUGCUAGUAUUUAUAAGCUCCUAAGGGAUACUAUGUGUAGAAAGCAGGCGUCCCUACCUCCCAUCUCUCUCUUCUAAUCCAAUCGAGAUGCUCUUCCAAAUGACUUUUCAGGGCCAUAAGAUAGCGUGGAAAUCUCUGGACAGGGAGGGAGUCAGGAGAAACCUGGAUAUGAAUCCUUUCUCUAACAAGCUGUGCGACCCUAAAGAAAUCCUUUUAAAUCUCUUCAGUUCUCAUCUAUAUAUAGGUAAUACGGUAAUCAGGGUAAUCUGCCAGAUGGGGGUUGAGCAUGCACCCUAGUCCUUCCUAGUGGGUGGGCCACUUGCUAAAGGACUCAAACAACCAGAGGUUUCUGUGGCUCUUCCUCUGCAUUGCCCCCUUAACUAGAUGUUGUUGAGAGAGCGGACCUUCUAUUUCUCUCUCUCCUCUCCUUCCCCUUCUGAUUCUGUCUCUAGCUUUAUCUCCUCCCCACAUACACCAUUAAGUGCAUUGAAACUCUUCCAUCUCUCCCUCAGAAUUCCAAUGAUGUACAGGGAAAGCAUAAUUCUCCCUUCUCCCCAGCCCUAUGGCAACAAGAGAACGUGAAUGUCUAGGUGAGCCAGAGACCAUAUCUCAACGCCCUUGUUGUCUCUUGUGCUCUGUUUAUUCAUUCAUUGGCAGAGAUUUAAAUAAAAAGCAAUGACAACUUGUAUGCUCUCCUUUGAGGCUGAAACUUUCACACUAGAACAUGAGACAGUUUGGGGGACUAUUUAUUAGGCAUUUAACAGUUAACCUUGGCUCUACAUUGUCCAAACAAUUCCCUCCAGACCUAUGUCUUUUGGCAAACCAGUUCAGAAAGUUUAACUCCUUCCUUUGUCAGUGAUAUCCAUAGUAAUUUCCCCUUCUAACCACAGGACACAGAAUCUCCAACUGUUCAAACUCACCAAGUUACCUCUAAGUCCCCAAAUGUCUAUGUCUGCAGCACUAUUUGAUCAUCUAAGUUGGGGGGGGGGAUCCAAAAGAGGCAGCCCAAAACUCAAGUUCAGGUUUACCUAAGCAGGAAAUUCUUUAGCUAUCAUGUGUUUAAUGUUCAUAAUUUAUGCUGGAGUCUGAGGAAGGAUAGCCACCUCUCAUAAAAACACCAUUUGCCAUACUAAGAACUGAAGAAGGGAGAGAGACAAGGAGUAAUUAAUUCCAUUUCAAAUAUUCGUAGUCAAUGGCUCUGCCUGCUCAUCCCCCAAAUCCCUGAGUCUUUUAGUAUGUAUCACAUAUGACCAACUGGAAACAGUCAGUGGUUUUUUCUUCCUUCUUAGUAUCUAGGCCAGUGAUGGUGAACCUUUCAGAGACUGAGUGCCAGGCCCCACCUCCAACCAAAUGUCAUGCCCAUCCCCUCAGACUGUAUGCCAUACUCUUCCACUCCCACCAACUAUUGGGUGCGCCCUGCCUACUCCUUACCCCACACAGGGGAGGGAGAAAGUGCUCCCAUUGGGCUGCUAGAUAGAGGGGUGGAUAAAGUGAGGAAUAUCCUCAGUGAGUAUAGAGAGGGGGAGGGGAAUGGUCCAAGCACUCUGCUCCCCUCCAGCUCUGCUACCUGUGAGCCACUCACCUUACCCACUGUGCUGCUAAUCCCAUUGGGCUGCUAGGCAAAGGGGUGGGUGAUGUGAAAAAAAUGUCAUCGGGCACAGUGGAGAGGGGGAGGAGAGCAGCCCCCCCCCCAGUCCCUCUGCCUUUCUAGUAAUGAACUGGGAAGUGAGGGGAAUUGGGUGGCCACAUGCUUAUAGGGAAGUCUUUGUAUGCCAACUUUGGCACCCAUGCCAUAGGUUCACCAUCACUGCUCAAGGCUCUGGCCUAGUACCAUUAGUACCAUUCACCAUGUGAAUGCCAGGGAGCAACCAGAUACUAACUCAAUUCCAUCUGGAAGUCAUUAAAAUUCAUUAUAACCAAUAAACACAAACAUGGUAUGCAUUUACUAUCAAGUCUAUCUUUUGGAGAGACUUGACUGUAGAGCGUCAUUUUGCUUGACUACGUUUUUCAGGAAACAAUUCCACUAGACAUGCUAUGUGUGGACACGUCUUUCCAGCUCUAGCAAAUUGUGAGCACCGUGAAAGACAAGACAACACAAUAAGCAUUUAUUAAGCAUUUACUGUGAGCUGCCCACUGUGAGGGAGAAUGAAGCAAAGCAGGACUCUGCAAAAGUGGCCAAAGGCAAGAGUUUGCAAAAGACGGUCCGUCACAUGCACAGAGCUGAAAGAGCUGCUCCAGCAUCUGGAGAAAGGAUCAAGGCAGACACCGGAUAUCCGUUGUUCCCAUCCUGCCAGGGGAGCAGAGAGAUCACUUCCUGUGGGGCGGUUCUAAGCCUGAAGGAGGCGCCUAACCGAUGCCCUGAGAGCUGGAGGCUCGCCUGUGAUUCCUGAGAUCCUCUCCGUCCCUGCCUCCACUUUCCAUCUCCCUGUGAGCCUGUAAGCUCCCGUGUCCCUGAGCGCUGCCAGGACCCAGCCCCCGUCAGGGAGAAGAGCCCAGCCAUCUUGGCCUGGCCUACAAGGGGGAACUCCUCAAGAGGUCCAGCGACCCUCUCGGGAAGAACUUUUAACUCGUCUAUCAGUCAUCUGGGGGCCACUUGGCUCUGACGAGGUCGUUGGUGGGGCUCUGUUGUAGAGAGCCAGAGUAGAGCCAGGGUAGCCCGAAGAUCUCUGAAGAUGGCCCCAGAGGAGCCCUUGGAGGCAUCUGGGUGGAGAAUCUGAGUUUUAAGCGUGGGGACUCCUUUUCCCUGGUCCUCCUCCUUCCUCUUUACUCGAUAUAAAUAAACCUGAGUUACUGUUUUCUACAGAAGAGUCAGCGAGCGCUUUGGCGAGGAGCUGACCCUCAGGCCUACAGAGGCCUGUCCAGUGUAUUCUCGGUGUGCCAACAACAAGUCUACAAACUCUUCCAUCGAUAUCAUCGUUUUUUUCACCCUGUACACUAUGCUGAAGACCGAGGAUGCAAAGACGAGCCAAAAGGAAAGAGAGCUCUGCCGCUGUGGAGCCUAAUUCUAAUGGAGGAAGUCCACACCACAAAGGAACUGAGAUAGCUGUGGAAGGAAGGAGAAUGGGGUGAAUACUCAUGUAGGGACGACGUAGAAGCCCCAAAAGUCAAAAGCAGAAGCAAGAAGGGAAUGAAGUUUGACCAGCUCUGGAGGAACUCACCAGUGGGAAAAGGAGGCUUGCCUGGUGUUGAGAUGACAGGUUGCAGGGAAGGAUGGAGACUAGAUGCUGAGAAGCUGAGGACUAAGAUAUCCACAUUUACUGGCAUCAAUAGGUGAGCCCUCAUUGGCAAUUUUCAGAAAAAGAAAUCAAAACUAUUAAUAAGCACAUGAAAAAGUGUUCUAAAUCUCUCAUAAUCAGAGAGAUGCAAAUCAAAACAACUCUGAGGUAUCACCUCACACCUAGCAGAUUGGCUAACAUGACAGCAAAGGAAAGUAAUGAAUGCUGGAGGGGAUGUGGCAAAGUUGGGACAUUAAUUCAUUGCUGGUGGAGUUGUGAAUUGAUCCAACCAUUCUGGAGGGCAAUUUGGAACUAUGCCCAAAGGGCGAUAAAAGACUGUCUGCCCUUUGAUCCAGCCAUAGCACUACUGGGCUUUUACCCCAAAGAGAUAAUAAGGAAAAAGACAUGUACAAGAAUAUUCAUAGCUGCACUCUUUGUGGUGGCCAAAAAUUGGAAAAUGAGGGGAUGCCCUUCCAUUGGGGAAUGGCUGAACACACUGUGUUAUCUGUUGGGGAUGGAAUACUAUUGUGCUCAAAGUUUAAUAAAGUGGAGGAAUUCCAUGGAGACUGGAACAACCUCCAGGAAGUGAUGCAGAGCAAGAGGAGCAGAACCAGGAGAGCAGUGUACACAGAGACUGAUACACUGUGGUACAAUUGAAUGUAAUGAACUUCUCUACUAGCAGCAAUACAGUGAGCCAGGAAAAUUCUGGAGACUUAUGAGAAAGAUGCUCUCUACAUCCAGAGAAAGAACUGUGAGAGCAGAAACACAGAAGGAAAACAACAAAACAACUGCUUGAUCACAAGGGUCGAUGGGGAUAUGAUUGGGGAUGUAGACUCUAAACAAUCACCCUGGUGCAAAUGUUUAUAAUAUGGAAAUAGGUCUUGAUCAAUGAAACAUGUAAAACCCAAUGGAAUUGCUCAUUGGCUAUGGGAGGGGAUGGGAGAAUGGAAGGGAAAGAACAUGAAUCAUGGAACCAUGGGAAAAUAUUCUAAAUUAAUUCAUUAAAUAAACAAACAAAAACAGGAAAUACAAACAGGGAAAAAAAUAUGGUGAGCCUUCAGAAAGGUAGGGGUAGGGGUCUCCAGGAUGUCCAAGGAGGGACAAAUUAGCCCAGGUUGAAAAUGAGGCAGAUUAAAACUCUAAUGCCAAUAAUUAGUGGAAAUGGACAUUUAAGAAGUUGCUAUGCCUAAUCUCCAAAAGAAAAGAAGAGAAAGGAAAACAAAGCUGCCUGUAACAGAGAACUGAAGUUGAAUGCAUUUUCUACUAAUCUUAUUCUCCCUUUUAUCAUGUGAGUUUGUGUUACACCUUUCCCCACUAGAUGAUAAACUUCUGGAGAACAA
This is a non-coding RNA of Monodelphis domestica (gray short-tailed opossum), 4756 nucleotides long. NCBI's taxonomy places the organism in Eukaryota, Metazoa, Chordata, Mammalia, Didelphimorphia, Didelphidae. The record is from RefSeq and is a predicted model, not a curated record.